ACCACAUAUCCGCUACUAAUUGAGCAGCGCUGCAAACGUUCACUUUAAAAUCGGGUAAAAAUCGAUUUGUCACAUUUGGGUUGGUGGUUGCAGUAAAAGUGUUUUUAAUUCAAAUAUUAACAGGGAUCUAUUUACCCAGGACAUAUAUCUCAAUAAUUAUUAUUACAUUUUCAACUAAACUUUUCGUAUACCGUCCCAGGCAACUCUGGAGGCGAUCACUCUAUUGACUUUUUCAUGGUCAUACGCUAAUGUGUUUAUUUGAAGGUUUUGUUUUGUUCCUUCCUCAACUAUUCCCGAAAGUAAAGGGAAGACACAGCCGCUUGCACCAACUAGAUAGUCGUCGUGAGAAUGUUUUUUAUCGUGGAGAGCUAUUGUUGUCAGCCGGCGUAGCAGUUAACUUUGGCAUUGGCGCUAGCAGAAAAUACGAUAUUCUCACAAUAUCACAAUUUUUAUGAUUUAUUUUGCUCUCCUCGCUAAAAAUCGCUUUUGAUUUUCCUUUUUUUAAUUUAUUUGUUAUAUUGCACUAUUGAUUCGAUUAUGAAUGUCACAAUAUGAAAUUCUAUCCACAGACGGACUUGAGAUAUCUUAUUUAAUAACUCUAGGACACGCGUGUAAAUCGUUUGAUGAAUUAUCUACUUUUUUAAGUUUUUGCGUUAAACACGGUACACGGUAGAAGCAAAAACGUCAGAUAAAACCGAGAGAAUCUGCAAAGAUUGAUGAAUUUAAAUUUUCACUUUCGCUCCACCUUCGCAGCUUUUUGCUUCUGUUGGAAACAGUUGAAGACCUGACGGCGCUGCCAAUAAAUGAUUUGCUGAAUGACACGUGAACCAGUGUUGUAUGCCAGGGUACCAACCAAUAGCAAGAAUUGCAACACGUAUAUUUUCGAAUUGAUUUAGUUGAUUUGAUAUAAAUAUCACUUUUUAUCAAUAAUAAAUCGAUUCAAAGGAAUAGACUUCUUUAAGUUCAGGGAACAGUUUGACAAUUAGAAAAGUUCCAAUAAGAAAAGAGCAAAUCUGUGUGGUUGUUUUUUCUUCUGUCAUGCCAGCUGCCGAAAUAUUCAACGGACAAGAGUUAAGCGGUUAUCUCUUUUCCGCUCAGUAGUUAAAAAGUAUGUCUGAAGAGUACCAUAAAUGUUAGCAACACAACAUUUGGCAAAAUAAUUGCAGCGUGAAGUUAGCUGUUUCUCUACAACUAAAUACCGGUGAUGGUUAACGGCUAAAAUUACUUUUUUGCAACUUAACAAAAUAAAUAAUUAAUUUUAUAGAUUACACCUAAAUUUUAGCUUGUAACAUUUUCUCUAAAUUUAAUAAUGGUGCAGAAAACUUAUAAUUGUUUUGGACUAGUAAUAGCUAACAACUAAUAUGAAUUAUCUCAGAAUUGAACACACCUAUUACAAGGUCCCCUCGACAAAGUUGGACUUUUAUUUAUAUUUAACUUGCACGGAAACGGAAACGCUUAAGAGUUAUAUUUUUACACGACAGAGAUUCGUGGAAUUUAUUUUAUUUUACUUUUUAAUAUUUCAGUGGAAUUAUCGCUACAAAUUAAAUAAUAUUGUUUUUGCAGCCACGAUUGACUUAAUAUAUUAUUUUAAAUACACCUCCAAGUCUGAGAUUUUUGUUAUAGAAAAUUAUUAUAUAAUAUACUAGACGCAAAAACUUCCAAAGACGCAAAAAAUGUUAUUCCAAGGGUUCAACGCUGCUUUAUACCUCUUAACGGCGUUAUACCACUUAACUUCUGUGAAAAAGAGCGUGUGGCUUAAAAGCAAUAUUCUUUGCUUCUUAACUGCAGAUGAUUGGCCGUCUGGAAAUCCAGAUUUCAAUUCGUAAGACUAUAUUUUUCAAAGUUGGUCGAUACCCCAAUAAAAUCUGGAAUGUCUAAAAAAUUCUUGGUUGGAGCAGCGUCGUCAAUACCAAUAGAAACUGUGCGUGCUGCUAUUGAUCAAUGACCAUGAAUGAAUGAAGAGCCGUUAUGAAAACUAACGGUGAUAAUUGAAAAUCUUGUGCAUUGUAAAUUUAGUACAUAUAUGCAUUACUAAAUUAACAAUUAACAAUUAACUUUAUUAAAAAAUUUAUUAUAGUUUCAUUUUUAAAACGGCCUGAACUUGUAACAGUAGCUCCCAACGUUAAAGAUCGCAUGAUUUUACACAAAUAGCUGGCAAAUGAUGAAAUGCAAAAGUAAUGGUUUGAACCUUCUAACCCUAAGUAAAACUUAGAUAUUUAUUGGUUUUGGAUUUAAUUAUACUCGUUCAUUUUUAGAUGGACAUGCUCACACAUAAAAUCAGGCAAAGUGUAAAUGUAUGUAGGUGUAUCUCAAGGCUAAUUUAUGUUGUUUGGAAUAAAAAUUAACCUAAUUCCUCAUUUUUGAUAUAAAUACCCUAAUGGCUUAAGUUAUACGACAAAUGUUUACAUAUGCAUAUAGUUACGCAAGCGUACCGUACAUUUAAUAAGUAGACGUGUUAUGAAUGAAUUAGGAUUAUAUUACAAAAAAGCAAAAACAAAAUCCAUUUUUAUACAUGUGUGCAUGUAAUAGAAGUGCGUGUAUGGGUGCUUUGUAGUUUAUUAUGAUUCCAUUUCAAAAUUCUUAUUUGCACUGAAGAGUGUUAAAUAAAAUUAUGGAUUUUUAUUUGUAUAUACAUAUGUAUUUAUAUAAUUAAGUAUUUCUCCUACCUAAUUUCAUUUAUCUUCAAUUGCAGCAUUAAACAUCGUAAACGUAUCGGUGUACUCGAUUACAUCAUUGAAUAGAUUAAAUUGUUUCACUUAACAAUGAAAUUACUGUAUAUAAUAUUAAUAAAUAUAUUUAUAUUGGUAUAUAUAUAUAUAUAUGUAUCUAUGCAGUAAUGGAUAUGAAAGAGCGUGAUUGAUAGAUUAUGAUUCAUGGACUUUAGCGUCUCUCAAGUAUAGAAGGACGUCAGUUCCCGCUGUAAACUAAGAGGAAUCACGACAUUUCAAGCAAAUAUUUAUUUCUUUUUACAUAAAAUAAAAUUUUGCAAUACCUGCUUUAAA
Molecule: long non-coding RNA, 3002 nt
Organism: Bactrocera oleae (olive fruit fly)
Lineage: Eukaryota; Metazoa; Arthropoda; Insecta; Diptera; Tephritidae
Source: RefSeq, a predicted model, not a curated record